Molecule: ribosomal RNA, 426 nt
Filed under: Triticum aestivum (bread wheat)
Lineage: Eukaryota; Viridiplantae; Streptophyta; Magnoliopsida; Poales; Poaceae
Description: partial small subunit ribosomal RNA
Source: RNAcentral
AUGGCAAAAUAUUGGUGGAGCAGUUCCAUUGAUCGCAAAUCUCUCCACUGGAUAGAUUGGAAGUCUUUGUCACUCCCUAAGAUCAAAGGAGGAAUGGGUUUCCGCGACUUGGAAUGUUUCAAUAUCGCGCUUUUGGGCAAACAUGGCUGGAGAAUGAUGACAAACCCGGAGUCCUUGUGCUCUAGGGUUCUAAAAGGACGCUAUUUCCCAAAUUCUGAUUUUAUGAGUGCUUCUGUGCCACGAAACGCCUCCACGACAUGGAAGGGUAUCAUGGCUGGGACGAAGGCACUAGAAGCCGGCUUGCUAUGGCGAAUUUGUGAUGGUACUUCUGUGAAAAUUUGGACUGACCGGUGGCUACCUGGAAAACUAUCUCUGCAACCUUCAGUUCAGAUUGGGAGUGCCAACCUUCACACAGUUUCAGACUGA